AUUGAACGCUGGCGGAAUGCCUAACACAUGCAAGUCGAACGGCAGCGCGGGUGCUUGCACCUGGCGGCGAGUGGCGAACGGGUGAGUAAUGCAUCGGAACGUGCCCAGUCGUGGGGGAUAACGCAGCGAAAGCUGUGCUAAUACCGCAUACGAUCUGUGGAUGAAAGCGGGGGACCGAAAGGCCUCGCGCGAUUGGAGCGGACGAUGUCAGAUUAGGUAGUUGGUGGGGUAAAGGCUCACCAAGGCAACGAUCUGUAGCUGGUCUGAGAGGACGACCAGCCACACUGGGACUGAGACACGGCCCAGACUCCUACGGGAGGCAGCAGUGGGGAAUUUUGGACAAUGGGCGCAAGCCUGAUCCAGCAAUGCCGCGUGCAGGAAGAAGGCCUUCGGGUUGUAAACUGCUUUUGUACGGAGCGAAAAGGCUCUCUCGAAUACAGGGGGCACAUGACGGUACCGUAAGAAUAAGCACCGGCUAACUACGUGCCAGCCGCCGCCGUAA
Molecule: ribosomal RNA, 502 nt
Filed under: uncultured bacterium
Lineage: Bacteria
Description: partial 16S ribosomal RNA
Rfam family: Bacterial small subunit ribosomal RNA
Source: RNAcentral